This 265-nucleotide long non-coding RNA is filed under the name Sus scrofa (pig). Its description in RNAcentral is "lncRNA (ENSSSCG00035049724.1)". Lineage: Eukaryota; Metazoa; Chordata; Mammalia; Artiodactyla; Suidae. The record is from RNAcentral.
CUGCAGGUUCAGUGGAGCUGAAGUCGGAAGAAGAAAUCUUGCUCCUGUGUGGUCAUCAAUGAAGAGAAAGCAUAGGGGAAAGAAGUUUGAGAAGAACCAUUCAGAGAACUGUGAUUUCUUUUUGAGGCAGAUCUGAUGUGCCUGGUUUGAAGAAACCAAUUCAUUUCUUGAUGGGAAGAAAAAUCUUGUUUAUUUUUUCACUUAUUUUUUUAUGUAUGGGAUUUUCACUAACUUUGGACCAGAUACUUGCCAGGAAGAAUGUAAG